Molecule: ribosomal RNA, 440 nt
Filed under: uncultured bacterium
Lineage: Bacteria
Description: partial 16S ribosomal RNA
Rfam family: Bacterial small subunit ribosomal RNA
Source: RNAcentral
CCUACGGGUGGCAGCAGUGGGGAAUAUUGCUCAAUGGAGGAGAGCCUGAACCAGCCAAGUCGCGUGAAGGAUGACUGUUCUCGGGUUUGUAACCCUCUUUUUUAUAGGAGUUAAUUACGGUAUCUAUCGCGUAAUCAACGUCUAACUCCGUUCCAGCAGCCGCAGUAAUACGGAGGGUGCAAGCGUUACUCGGAAGUACUGGGCGUAAAGGGAGCUUAGGCGGGUUAGCAAGUCAGAUGUGAAAUCCUAGGGCUGAAACAGAGAAAUGCAUUUGAAACUGUUAGUCUAGAGUAUGUGAGAGGUAGGUGGAAUGCGUGGUGUAGGGGUAAAAUCCGUAGAGAUCAAGAAGAACACGCAUUGCGAAGGCGACCUGCUAGAACAUAACUGACGCUGAUGCGCGAAAGCGUGGGUAGCAAACAGGAUUAGAUACCCCGGUAGUC